GUGACUCUAAGACCAGGAUUCAACACACCUAGAAGGCUUUGACUCUGAUACCAGUCACAGAAGGCUCUGUGACUCUUCUAUUUUCUCUAGGUCAUGCAAAUGGAGGCGGAUUUUGACAUAUCAUAAAGCCAACAUAAUACACAGUCUGCAGGUGGAAUUGGGACUCUCAUGCAUGGAUCCAGUUCAUCAUUGAUACUGUGACUCAUGUACUUGGAUGCAACUCACAGGAGGUGUUGACGCUUUUUACCUGAAGCUGGGACAUGUGUGGAAUUGUGAAUCCUAGCCCUAGAUCUUCCCACAGGGAUCGUUGACAUUUCGGGAUGUGGCCAUACAAUUCUCUCUGGAGGAGUGGCAAUGCCUGGACACUGCACAGCAGAAUUUAUAUAGGAAUGUGAUGUUAGAGAACUACAGAAACCUGGUCUUCCUGGGUGAGAAUAACUUUAAUACGCAAUUCCUAGUAUACACUAUAGGUUUCAUUUUGCUGUGGACUUUAUUG
This 496-nucleotide long non-coding RNA is filed under the name Homo sapiens (human). Its description in RNAcentral is "non-protein coding LINC01859:22". The record is from RNAcentral. Lineage: Eukaryota; Metazoa; Chordata; Mammalia; Primates; Hominidae.